This is a non-coding RNA of Terrapene triunguis (Three-toed box turtle), 335 nucleotides long. The record is from the annotation of a RefSeq genome assembly. NCBI's taxonomy places the organism in Eukaryota, Metazoa, Chordata, Testudines, Emydidae.
AUGCCGGGAUCUCUGUGGCUGUAUCUCUGCGCGCUGCCGCUGUUCCCAGGUUCGGUGGCGGGGAACUCGCUGACCCAGAUCCCGGCUUCCCUGCCAGCCACGGAAGGGGAGCGGGUGGAGAUCAGGUGUCAAUACAUCACCUCCUACACCAGCUACGCCCUGGACUGGUACCAGGAGCUGCCGGGGAAGCAGCCCCUGUUCCUAAUCGGGAGGUUUUCCUACGACUUGGAACGCAAAUCCGAUUCUGUGGCACCUCGUUUCUCUGCGCAGCUGGACAAGGGAGCGAAGUCUCUCACGUUAUCCAUAGACGGGGCGCAGCGGGCUGACUCGGCGGU